RNAcentral lists this ribosomal RNA (111 nucleotides) under Sardinops sagax (South American pilchard). Its description in RNAcentral is "partial 16S ribosomal RNA". The record is from RNAcentral. Lineage: Eukaryota; Metazoa; Chordata; Actinopteri; Clupeiformes; Clupeidae.
CGAGAAGACCCUAUGGAGCUUUAGACACUAACCAACCACGAAAAGCGACCCUAACUGGAGCCCCAAACAACGUGAUUCUGGCAUAAGUGUCUUCGGUUGGGGCGACCCAGG